Molecule: ribosomal RNA, 253 nt
Filed under: uncultured bacterium
Lineage: Bacteria
Description: partial 16S ribosomal RNA
Rfam family: Bacterial small subunit ribosomal RNA
Source: RNAcentral
UACGAAGGGGGCUAGCGUUGUUCGGAAUUACUGGGCGUAAAGCGCGCGCAGGCGGCUAUCCAAGUCAGUGGUGAAAGCCCGGAGCUCAACUCCGGAACUGCCAUUGAAACUGUUUAGCUUGAGGACGAGAGAGGUGAGUGGAAUUCCCAGUGUAGAGGUGAAAUUCGUAGAGAUCGGGAGGAACACCAGAGGCGAAAGCGGCGUCCUGGACAGGCACUGACACUCAACUACGAAAGCGUGGGGAGCAAACAGG